This 218-nucleotide unclassified non-coding RNA is filed under the name uncultured fungus. RNAcentral describes it as "sequence contains ITS1". Lineage: Eukaryota; Fungi. The record is from RNAcentral.
UUGAUUUAUUCAAAAUUUUAACUCAGACGACCGGUUUAAUUAACAAGAGUUUGGUUUAACUCCGGCGGGCGCUCGCCGCGGGGGACUGGUCCCCCAGGCGGCUCGAGACCGAGCGGUCCCGCCAAAGCAACAAGGUAGUUUUAACAACAAAGGGUUGGAGGUCGGGCGCUGAGCACCCUUACUCUUUAAUGAUCCUUCCGCAGGUUCACCUACGGAAA